This 137-nucleotide ribosomal RNA is filed under the name uncultured bacterium. Its description in RNAcentral is "partial 16S ribosomal RNA". It matches the Rfam family "Bacterial small subunit ribosomal RNA", at positions 355 to 509 of the family's 1533-position model. The record is from RNAcentral.
UGGGGAAUAUUGGACAAUGGGCGAAAGCCUGAUCCAGCAAUGCCGCGUGUGUGAAGAAGGUCUUCGGAUCGUAAAGCACUUUCGACAGGGACGAUGAUGACGGUACCUGUAGAAGAAGCCCCGGCUAACUUCGUGCC